CUCUUCCUAACUACUUCUCAAACCAAAGAAAUUUGGUAAAAGGCAUUAGAUGACCUUGCCAAAGGGGGUGAUUGUCAUCAUCCAGGGAGAUAUAUUGGAUUGCUUUGUCCCUUGCACUAAUAAUUCUCUUCUAGACCCAAGAGUGAUAAAAGUAGCUUUACAGUUCAUAAUAGAGUAUCUCUUGAGUAUGUUACUCUCCACCCA
RNAcentral lists this long non-coding RNA (204 nucleotides) under Linum usitatissimum (flax). Its description in RNAcentral is "long non-coding RNA (LUSI_LNC007768)". The record is from RNAcentral. Lineage: Eukaryota; Viridiplantae; Streptophyta; Magnoliopsida; Malpighiales; Linaceae.